CUACGGGUGGCUGCAGUGGGGAAUAUUGGACAAUGGGCGAAAGCCUGAUCCAGCCAUGCCGCGUGUGUGAAGAAGGCCUUCGGGUUGUAAAGCACUUUCAGUGGGGAAGAAAGCCUUGGGGCUAAUACCCUCGAGGAAGGACAUCACCCACAGAAGAAGCACCGGCUAACUCCGUGCCAGCAGCCGCGGUAAUACGGAGGGUGCGAGCGUUAAUCGGAAUUACUGGGCGUAAAGCGCGCGUAGGCGGUCUGAUAAGCCGGUUGUGAAAGCCCCGGGCUCAACCUGGGAACGGCAUCCGGAACUGUCAGACUAGAGUGCAGGAGAGGAAGGUAGAAUUCCCGGUGUAGCGGUGAAAUGCGUAGAGAUCGGGAGGAAUACCAGUGGCGAAGGCGGCCUUCUGGACUGACACUGACGCUGAGGUGCGAAAGCGUGGGUAGCAAACAGGAUUAGAUACCCGAGUAGUC
RNAcentral lists this ribosomal RNA (464 nucleotides) under Vreelandella stevensii. RNAcentral's name for it is "partial 16S ribosomal RNA". It matches the Rfam family "Bacterial small subunit ribosomal RNA", at positions 339 to 795 of the family's 1533-position model. Lineage: Bacteria; Pseudomonadati; Pseudomonadota; Gammaproteobacteria; Oceanospirillales; Halomonadaceae. The record is from RNAcentral.